Molecule: long non-coding RNA, 565 nt
Organism: Homo sapiens (human)
Lineage: Eukaryota; Metazoa; Chordata; Mammalia; Primates; Hominidae
Gene: NSMCE1-DT
Product: NSMCE1 divergent transcript
Source: Ensembl
ACUUCCGGUUCUCCGUUUGCGCCAUUGCCCUGGUGGUUCCGCCUCGUGGGUUAGAUCCCAAAUUACGCCCGCUCUCGAUCCUUAAUAAUGGGAAGGGGCUUCCACUUGUCGCCCUCCGCCUCCUGCACCUCAGUGACUUCCCUGACCAAGGAGGAAGAAUUGGCGUGCAGCCUGGGCUUCCCUCAAUGGCCACCAUUCCGCUGGCACAAUGUAGUGCCCUGCCCCGGGCCUCAGUUUCCCCAUCUGUGGAACUGAGUGUGGCCUCGACGUCAAAAAUGUGGACUCUGGUCCGGUCGCGGUGGCUCACGCCUGGAUUGUGAGAAAGCAAGUGAAAUUACUCGUGGAAGUGAAUGGACUGCUUUGAGUCUUCAAGGCGUUAAUUUUCCAAACGUUUGAAUUCUAUCCCUGGUCUGAGAGCUAGGGAUGCAGCCUAGCAAGGGAAACAGCAGCCUCAGCACCCCCUGGGAGCUCGAGACAUCUAAGGAGUUGACUGAGGCCCCUCCCUGACAUACUGAAGCGGAAUCUGCAUUUUAGCAAGAUCUGCAGGUAGUGGAAUCUACCACAU